Danio rerio (zebrafish) is the source of this 54-nucleotide non-coding RNA. The record is from Rfam. Lineage: Eukaryota; Metazoa; Chordata; Actinopteri; Cypriniformes; Danionidae.
CUUGUCCUCAUUUGUAACUCGCUUUGGAUAAAAGCGUCUGCUAAAUGACUAAAU